Molecule: small nucleolar RNA, 99 nt
Filed under: Gossypium barbadense (sea-island cotton)
Lineage: Eukaryota; Viridiplantae; Streptophyta; Magnoliopsida; Malvales; Malvaceae
Also listed under: 1 other name
Description: Plant small nucleolar RNA R71
Rfam family: Plant small nucleolar RNA R71
About the family: R71 is a member of the C/D box family of snoRNAs containing the C (UGAUGA) and D (CUGA) box motifs. Multiple nearly identical copies of this snoRNA have been identified in Arabidopsis, and it is thought to function as a 2'-O-ribose methylation guide for 18S ribosomal RNA.
Source: Rfam by way of RNAcentral
AACCCAUGGUGAGGGCACCUUUUCAAUAAGUCCUUGUAUCUCUCCCAUGCAUCGUAGCGUGUUUCUAAAUCCAUCUGCACAAAAUAUUUUAGUAAGAAU